RNAcentral lists this ribosomal RNA (467 nucleotides) under uncultured Cryptanaerobacter sp. RNAcentral describes it as "bacterial SSU rRNA". It matches the Rfam family "Bacterial small subunit ribosomal RNA", at positions 920 to 1382 of the family's 1533-position model. Lineage: Bacteria; Bacillati; Bacillota; Clostridia; Eubacteriales; Desulfotomaculaceae. The record is from RNAcentral.
CCCGGCACAAGCGGUGGAGCAUGUGGUUUAAUUCGACGCAACGCGAAGAACCUUACCAGGGCUUGACAUCCUCUGACCGCAUAUGAAAGUAUGUUUCUGGCUUCGGUCAGACAGAGAGACAGGUGGUGCAUGGUUGUCGUCAGCUCGUGUCGUGAGAUGUUGGGUUAAGUCCCGCAACGAGCGCAACCCCUACGUUUAGUUGCUAACGUGUAACGAUGAGCACUCUAGGCGGACUGCCGUUGACAAAACGGAGGAAGGUGGGAUGACGUCAAAUCAUCAUGCCCCUUAUGUUCUGGGCUACACACGUGCUACAAUGGCCGGUACAAAGGGACGCAAAGCCGCGAGGUGGAGCAAAUCCGAUAAAAGCCGGUCUCAGUUCGGAUUGCAGGCUGCAAUUCGCCUGCAUGAAGUCGGAAUCGCUAGUAAUCGCAGGUCAGCAUACUGCGGUGAAUACGUUCCCGGGCCUU